Dipodomys spectabilis (banner-tailed kangaroo rat) is the source of this 920-nucleotide long non-coding RNA. RefSeq lists it as uncharacterized. The record is from RefSeq and is a predicted model, not a curated record. NCBI's taxonomy places the organism in Eukaryota, Metazoa, Chordata, Mammalia, Rodentia, Heteromyidae. The transcript is spliced from 3 exons.
AGGAUUACAGGCUAAUGCCUGGCACAAGUGCUGUCUUGAUCCAACCCCAGGAACCAGUGACUGGAGCCCAGGGUGAGGGCAGUGGUUCUUGAUUUUUGAUAUCUGGAGCUAUUGCCCUGAAAGCUAGAGCUUUGGGGGUGGUGUAGGGUGGUCCUGGGGGCACCAGGAUUGGGAGUAUGGCCUUGGGUUCCCAUCAGGACAUUUAGGGACUCCACUGAGGAGGCCAAGGGCCACCCCACUGGUGGAGCCCAGGGGCCGGAGCCUCAAAUAAGGCACUAAAAGAAAACCGGUCCUGGGAGUCAGGCCGGUGAUGGGGCCCGGAGCUCGGGGGAGGACACGGGCCUUGGAGGAAAUGCGAGCUGUUCGCUCUUCUCUUUACCUUGGGGGAGAGGCCAUCCAGGCAGACCACUUCAGGAUGGGGGAGUGAGUGCUACUGUGAGGGAAAGUCCCUGGAAUGGUCAUGGGGUGGCCAAAAGAGGAGGGGCUGGAAGAGGGCAUCAGUGGACAGCAGGACAGUGUCUCAUGGCAGAGUCUGCUCUGAGAGCUUCUGUGGUCUAGAUCGGAGGGACCCAGGGAUCCCCAGUUUAUGUGGAGGGCCCUGAUUUGGCCUCAUUCUGCCACCACUGUCAGUGCUGCUGGGCGCUGGACGCUGGGGGCACAGGUAGGUGAGCCCAGAUGGGUCACGGCUGUGACUAGGCUCUCUGCCUGCCCUGUCCCCCUCUGUCUGCACGGGUGACUGCUGAGCAAUGCCCUGGCUGCAGUACCAUGCCACAAGGGCUGGAACAGCUCUCAAUAUGGGGUCCUGCUCAGUGGCCUAGGGUUCCAGCCUCAGAGCUGGGUCAGUGGGGCUUCCUUUGUCCACAGGUUACUUAGAAAAAAAAAACACAAUAAAUAUACCAAUCCUUUCCUUAAAAAAAAAA